AAGGGCAAGUUCACACGAAAAUAAACCUAUUUUUCUUGUACUUUUUCAUCAUGAAAAGUAUUUACCUAGUAGUUUCGGAGGCAAAACAAUUAAAAUAUCACACGUAUCAAAUUUAUUUUAUUCAUAAAAUCGGUUCAUAUUUUUCACAUUUACAGAGAGUUCUAUUUCCAUAAUAAACACACCAUGGCUUAUGCCCCUUGCAAUAUGAUGUCAUUGGUGCCAAUUGACAAAGGAAUGACGUCAUAAGACUUUAUUAGACGCGUUUCACGUGGUGUAUGUAGGUGUGUGGUUCUAUCUUCUCAGAUGCGCAGCCUAGCUAUUGUUUUGUUCGGUGCCGAGCUGUCCAAGAUACAACGCUAAGCACAAUUACUCUAAAAUUAUUUCGGUUUCCAAAAUCACGACUGAGAAGACAACAAUGCACUGAUAACAUACUGUAAGAUUCGCGAUUAUGGUUGGAAGGGUCCGUUGUAUGAAUUGCGCUUAUUCGUUCAUUUGUGUUGCGCAUAUUGGCUCUUGCUGAGUUGCUGUUGUCCUCCGUGAGAGUUUAGAUACCUGCUGGUUCUGAAACCACAGGACCAUAUGUAACUAAUAAUAACAAUAAAAAAAACUCGUUUAAAAAUUAUAGACGAGGCCGAAGGCCGUUUUUGUUACUAUUAUUAGUUACAUAUGGUCCUGUGCUGAAACUGAUCGGAAGCGGAUGGUGUACGAUCCUUAUAUGGAAACGGGCUAAAGGGGCAGCACUCUCAUCAAGACCCUGACUGGGAUGUUUUUGUAAACAAACGCCGUAAAGUUGAAGUAACUCGAUCAGUUUCGAGCCAAGUCAUGCCAGACACCAAUGCCCAGAAAGUACAGGUCCCCAGUCCAUCAUGGUGUAAAGUCGCUGUCCAAUGUACACCAGAAGCAUGGCACACCGUGCUUCAUAGUAUGAGGUCCCACAAUGAUAUGGAAGAGUAUAAAUGCGACAAAACCCUUUCCAUAUUUAUAUGAAAUCUCUGUAAAAAACAGUUGAUGAUACGAUUCUGACUAAAUCAUGAGCACGUGUUAAUGAAUCGCUAUCAAAUAGUGAUAAUACCAGGUGUUCGCGAAAGUAGAGAGUAUCCUGCCCCACCGGUGUCACAAGAAAUCCCUGGUGUUGAGAUCCAUUUUCAUUGAGUGCAAAUUGUGUUUAUUUUCAUGCAGAGUUACAAGUCAUAAAAUAUUAGAGUGUCUUGUGAGGUACAGUGCUUCAGACAACAAGAGAGCUGUACUUUUGAAAUAGUCAACCAGUGCACUAACAAGUUGCCACUGAGCAUUCAGCCAGUGCUUGUGAUAUUUUGUUCAGUCUUUUCCCCGGCCUUCGCCCUUGCCCCAAACUACCUGAUCCAGCAUCAGCCAUCGUGUAUUACAGAAACUUAUCAAAUGAACAGCAAAGGCUGAUUGUUGUCAGAGACCAUAAAACAAGAUUUCAAUGAAAAAAGUUUAUUUUAAUGAGCAUAGAGAAAAACUUUACAUACAUCAGAUGGAAAUCUUUCAUGAAUCACCUCGACAACACAAGACGGAAUAACUUUUCUCUGAUUCUUCAACUCUUUCUGCAAAUCCCCAAAGUGAACCUCUUGUUUAUGAGGUGUAGAUAGAUUCUGAAAUGAAAAAGUGUCUUUUAUUAGUCAAGCGAUGCACAACAUUACAAAACAAUAUCAUACCAUUUACAUAUAUAUUUUUGUCAUUAAAUCUGGAGGGAUGCUUAUAUAAGAAGUAACUUGUAUUGAUGUUAUAUGCAAAAAUUUUAUUACAUGUCAAUAAUUCAAUAAAUACCAAAACAGUUUAUAGUUCUAUCAUGUUGACAUGAUGUGUUUAUUACUGUAGGUUUGAAUACUUCUUGAAAUAUUGUGGGCAUGUUUCAAUAUCACUGAUGUAAUUUAAUAACCUUACAAGUUACAUAUGCUUUCACAACUUGCUGGCAAAUAAACAUUUAUGGUACUCGAA
RNAcentral lists this long non-coding RNA (1962 nucleotides) under Haliotis rufescens (red abalone). RNAcentral describes it as "uncharacterized LOC125382047, transcript variant X2". Lineage: Eukaryota; Metazoa; Mollusca; Gastropoda; Lepetellida; Haliotidae. The record is from RNAcentral.